This 39-nucleotide non-coding RNA is filed under the name unclassified sequences. The record is from RNAcentral.
CUUUGCCGAACUGUACCUUGAGUCCCAAGGCGAAAGGAG